RNAcentral lists this ribosomal RNA (465 nucleotides) under Vreelandella stevensii. RNAcentral describes it as "partial 16S ribosomal RNA". It matches the Rfam family "Bacterial small subunit ribosomal RNA", at positions 338 to 795 of the family's 1533-position model. The record is from RNAcentral. Lineage: Bacteria; Pseudomonadati; Pseudomonadota; Gammaproteobacteria; Oceanospirillales; Halomonadaceae.
CCUACGGGGGGCUGCAGUGGGGAAUAUUGGACAAUGGGGGGAACCCUGAUCCAGCCAUGCCGCGUGUGUGAAGAAGGCCCUCGGGUUGUAAAGCACUUUCAGUGAGGAAGAACGCCUGGUGGUUAAUACCCAUCAGGAAAGACAUCACUCACAGAAGAAGCACCGGCUAACUCCGUGCCAGCAGCCGCGGUAAUACGGAGGGUGCGAGCGUUAAUCGGAAUUACUGGGCGUAAAGCGCGCGUAGGUGGCUUGAUAAGCCGGUUGUGAAAGCCCCGGGCUCAACCUGGGAACGGCAUCCGGAACUGUCAAGCUAGAGUGCAGGAGAGGAAGGUAGAAUUCCCGGUGUAGCGGUGAAAUGCGUAGAGAUCGGGAGGAAUACCAGUGGCGAAGGCGGCCUUCUGGACUGACACUGACACUGAGGUGCGAAAGCGUGGGUAGCAAACAGGAUUAGAUACUCCUGUAGUC